Molecule: RNase P RNA, 329 nt
Filed under: Candidatus Saccharimonadota bacterium
Lineage: Bacteria; Candidatus Saccharimonadota
Description: RNase P RNA component class A
Rfam family: Bacterial RNase P class A
About the family: Ribonuclease P (RNase P) is a ubiquitous endoribonuclease, found in archaea, bacteria and eukarya as well as chloroplasts and mitochondria.
Source: RNAcentral
GUAGUUCAUUGAGUAAUCGCUUGUAUUUUUAUAAGAGGAAAGUCCGGGCAGUAUAGAGCAACAACAGCCGUUAACGGCGGCCGGGGGUGACCCUAGGGAAAGUGCCACAGAAACAAUACCGCCUUUCGAGGUAAGGGUGAAAAGAGUGGGGUAAGAGCCUACAGCAACGCAUGGUAACAUGCGGAGGAGGUAAACCCUGUUGACUGCAAGGAGAUCUAUAUGUAGGGCUGCUCGUCCGUAGAUCGAUAACCGCUUGAGUGUAUCGGUAACGAUAUGCCUAGAUAGAUGAUUAUUCACGACAGAACCCGGCUUAUAGAUGAACUACAUUU